AUUGUGUAACUAUCCUACAUCUCC
This 24-nucleotide non-coding RNA is filed under the name Arabidopsis thaliana (thale cress). Lineage: Eukaryota; Viridiplantae; Streptophyta; Magnoliopsida; Brassicales; Brassicaceae. The record is from RNAcentral.